CAGCCGCCGCGGUAAUACGUAGGUCCCGAGCGUUGUCCGGAUUUACUGGGCGUAAAGCGAGCGCAGGCGGUUAGAUAAGUCUGAAGUUAAAGGCUGCGGCUUAACCAUAGUACGCUUUGGAAACUGUUUAACUUGAGUGCAAGAGGGGAGAGUGGAAUUCCAUGUGUAGCGGUGAAAUGCGUAGAUAUAUGGAGGAACACCGGUGGCGAAAGCGGCUCUCUGGCUUGUAACUGACGCUGAGGCUCGAAAGCGUGGGGAGCAAACAGGAUUAGAUACCCGUGUAGUCCCUGUCUCUUAUACA
RNAcentral lists this ribosomal RNA (301 nucleotides) under uncultured bacterium. RNAcentral describes it as "partial 16S ribosomal RNA". It matches the Rfam family "Bacterial small subunit ribosomal RNA", at positions 509 to 808 of the family's 1533-position model. The record is from RNAcentral.